UAGCAUCAGCUAUGGAUCGGUCGAUUCGCGUAUCGAUGAAAAACGCAGCUAGCUCCGUUAUUCAUCACGAAUUGCAGACGCUUAGGGUAGUGAAAUUUUGAACACAUAGCGCCGUGGGGUUUCUACUUCGGCACUUCUGGUUUGGAUGAA
This 150-nucleotide ribosomal RNA is filed under the name Ancylostoma ceylanicum. Its description in RNAcentral is "5.8S ribosomal RNA". It matches the Rfam family "5.8S ribosomal RNA". From Rfam's summary of the family: 5.8S ribosomal RNA (5.8S rRNA) is a component of the large subunit of the eukaryotic ribosome. It is transcribed by RNA polymerase I as part of the 45S precursor that also contains 18S and 28S rRNA. The record is from Rfam by way of RNAcentral. Lineage: Eukaryota; Metazoa; Nematoda; Chromadorea; Rhabditida; Ancylostomatidae.